UACGGAGGAUGCGAGCGUUAUCCGGAUUUAUUGGGUUUAAAGGGUGCGCAGGCGGGCUUUUAAGUCAGCGGUGAAAUUUUCAGGCUCAACCUGAACACUGCCGUUGAAACUGGGAGUCUUGAGUAUAGAUGAAGUAGGCGGAAUUCGUUGUGUAGCGGUGACAUGCUUAGAUAUAACGAGGAACUCCGAUUGCGUAGGCAGCUUACUAAACUAUAACUGACGCUCAUGCACGAAAGCGUGGGGAUCAAACAGG
This 253-nucleotide ribosomal RNA is filed under the name uncultured Dysgonomonas sp. Its description in RNAcentral is "partial 16S ribosomal RNA". It matches the Rfam family "Bacterial small subunit ribosomal RNA", at positions 524 to 776 of the family's 1533-position model. Lineage: Bacteria; Pseudomonadati; Bacteroidota; Bacteroidia; Bacteroidales; Dysgonomonadaceae. The record is from RNAcentral.